RNAcentral lists this ribosomal RNA (643 nucleotides) under uncultured bacterium. RNAcentral's name for it is "bacterial SSU rRNA". It matches the Rfam family "Bacterial small subunit ribosomal RNA", at positions 232 to 886 of the family's 1533-position model. The record is from RNAcentral.
CGCGGCCUAUCAGCUUGUUGGUGAGGUAAUGGCUCACCAAGGCGACGACGGGUAGCCGGCCUGAGAGGGCGACCGGCCACACUGGGACUGAGACACGGCCCAGACUCCUACGGGAGGCAGCAGUGGGGAAUAUUGCACAAUGGGCGAAAGCCUGAUGCAGCGACGCCGCGUGAGGGAUGACGGCCUUCGGGUUGUAAACCUCUUUCAGCAGGGAAGAAGCGAAAGUGACGGUACCUGCAGAAGAAGCGCCGGCUAACUACGUGCCAGCAGCCGCGGUAAUACGUAGGGCGCAAGCGUUGUCCGGAAUUAUUGGGCGUAAAGAGCUCGUAGGCGGUCUGUCGCGUCGGAUGUGAAAGCCCGGGGCUUAACCCCGGGUCUGCAUUCGAUACGGGCAGACUAGAGUGUGGUAGGGGAGAUCGGAAUUCCUGGUGUAGCGGUGAAAUGCGCAGAUAUCAGGAGGAACACCGGUGGCGAAGGCGGAUCUCUGGGCCAUUACUGACGCUGAGGAGCGAAAGCGUGGGGAGCGAACAGGAUUAGAUACCCUGGUAGUCCACGCCGUAAACGGUGGGAACUAGGUGUUGGCGACAUUCCACGUCGUCGGUGCCGCAGCUAACGCAUUAAGUUCCCCGCCUGGGAGUACGGA